Molecule: small nuclear RNA, 161 nt
Organism: Ictidomys tridecemlineatus (thirteen-lined ground squirrel)
Lineage: Eukaryota; Metazoa; Chordata; Mammalia; Rodentia; Sciuridae
Gene: U2
Rfam family: U2 spliceosomal RNA
About the family: U2 is a small nuclear RNA (snRNA) component of the spliceosome (involved in pre-mRNA splicing).
Source: Ensembl
GUAUCUUCUUGGCUUUUUGGCUAAGAUCAAGUGUAGCAUUUAUUGUUAUCAAUUUAAAAUAUGAUAUGAUAGUAAUUGGAGUUUUAGAGCAGUGGCACUUGCUUUGUGCACUCCAUGAACAGACCUGAUAUUGCAGUAACUCCAGGAAUGGUGCAAUACAC